This 253-nucleotide ribosomal RNA is filed under the name uncultured bacterium. Its description in RNAcentral is "partial 16S ribosomal RNA". It matches the Rfam family "Bacterial small subunit ribosomal RNA", at positions 524 to 776 of the family's 1533-position model. The record is from RNAcentral.
UACGGAGGGUGCAAGCGUUGUCCGGAUUUAUUGGGUUUAAAGGGUGCGUAGGCGGGCCUUUAAGUCAGUGGUGAAAGCCGACAGCUUAACUGUCGAAAUGCCAUUGAUACUGGGGGUCUUGAGUACAGUAGAGGUAGGCGGAAUUAAUGGUGUAGCGGUGAAAUGCAUAGAUACCAUUAAGAACACCGAUUGCGAAGGCAGCUUACUAUAGUGUAACUGACGCUGAGGCACGAAAGUGUGGGGAUCAAACAGG